CGCGUAGGCGGCCACCGCAAGUCGGUUGUGAAAUCUCCGGGCUUAACCCGGAAAGGUCAAUCGAUACUGCGGGGCUAGAGCGCAGAAGGGGCAACUGGAAUUCUCGGUGUAGCGGUGAAAUGCGUAGAUAUCGAGAGGAACACCUGCGGCGAAGACGGGUUGCUGGGCUGACACUGACGCUGAAGCGCGAAAGCUAGGGGAGCGAACG
Molecule: ribosomal RNA, 208 nt
Filed under: uncultured bacterium
Lineage: Bacteria
Description: partial 16S ribosomal RNA
Rfam family: Bacterial small subunit ribosomal RNA
Source: RNAcentral